GAUGAACGCUAGCUACAGGCUUAACACAUGCAAGUCGAGGGGUAACGAGAGGAAAGCUUGCUUUCCUUGUCGACGACCGGCGCACGGGUGAGUAACGCGUAUCCAACCUGCCCCCAACUAAGGAAUAACCUUGCGAAAGUAAGACUAAUACCUUAUAAUUUCCUCAGAUGACAUCUGACGAGGAAUAAAGAUUUAUCGGCUGUGGAUGGGGAUGCGUCUGAUUAGCUUGUUGGCGGGGUAACGGCCCACCAAGGCAACGAUCAGUAGGGGUUCUGGGAGGAAGGUCACCCACAUUGGAACUGAGACACGGUCCAAACUACUACGGGAGGCAGCAGUGAGGAAUAUUAGUCAAUGGGCGAAAGCCUGAACCAGCCAAGUAGCGUGCAGGAUGACGGCCCUAUGGGUUGUAAACUGCUUUUAUACAGGAAUAAAGUUAGCCGCGUGUGGUUAUUUGUAGGUACUGUAUGAAUAAGGACCGGCUAAUUCCGUGCCAGCCGCCGCAGUAA
Molecule: ribosomal RNA, 506 nt
Filed under: uncultured bacterium
Lineage: Bacteria
Description: partial 16S ribosomal RNA
Rfam family: Bacterial small subunit ribosomal RNA
Source: RNAcentral